RNAcentral lists this transfer RNA (63 nucleotides) under Nephropsis grandis. RNAcentral describes it as "tRNA-Ala". The record is from RNAcentral. Lineage: Eukaryota; Metazoa; Arthropoda; Malacostraca; Decapoda; Nephropidae.
AGAGCUAUAGUCAAACUAUGACAUAUAAGUUGCAUUUAUAAAGUGUUUAUAAAACUAGCUUUA